GAUGAACGCUGGCGGCGUGCCUAAUACAUGCAAGUCGAGCGAACGGACGAGAAGCUUGCUUCUCUGAUGUUAGCGGCGGACGGGUGAGUAACACGUGGAUAACCUACCUAUAAGACUGGGAUAACUUCGGGAAACCGGAGCUAAUACCGGAUGAUAUUUUGAACCGCAUGGUUCAAAAGUGAAAGACGGUCUUGCUGUCACUUAUAGAUGGAUCCGCGCUGCAUUAGCUAGUUGGUAAGGUAACGGCCUACCAAGGCAACGAUGCGUAGCCGACCUGAGAGGGUGAUCGGCCACACUGGAACUGAGACACGGUCCAGACUCCUACGGGAGGCAGCAGUAGGGAAUCUUCCGCAAUGGGCGAAAGCCUGACGGAGCAACGCCGCGUGAGUGAUGAAGGUCUUCGGAUCGUAAAACUCUGUUAUUAGGGAAGAACAGAUGUGUAAGUAACUGUGCACAUCUUGACGGUACCUAAUCAGAAAGCCACGGCUAACUACGUG
RNAcentral lists this ribosomal RNA (497 nucleotides) under uncultured bacterium. RNAcentral describes it as "partial 16S ribosomal RNA". It matches the Rfam family "Bacterial small subunit ribosomal RNA", at positions 28 to 507 of the family's 1533-position model. The record is from RNAcentral.